CACAAAGGGAUGAGAAGUUGUCACCUGCAGGCCACAACAUGACAUAAAAACUGGAAGGUGAGCAAAAAAACACAGAAAAAUGUACUUAAAUGUCUAUAUUUUGCAUAUAUUUGUCAUAAUCACAUCAAAAAAGUUCAUUUUGUUUAAUUAAAAGUCACCAAUUUGGUCAUUUUCAUGUUUUACUUUAUUGGGGCUGUCUGCUUCAAAGCUAAAGCAACGGCGCCCUCUGCUGGCCAAGACCCCUCCCUGCAACAAUGCUGUUACCAUGGUUACAGAGCGUUCCGCCUGUGGCCGUAUUUGGUUCUGCUUGUUCUGUUUAUUCUGUGUUUUGUGCAUUUGGUUUCCAUCAGAGUGGGACCUCUGUGUUCUUGUGCAUCUUUGUGUGUCUGUUUGUUUGGGAUUGUUAUCGCUGCAGAGCAUCUACAAACGCAGAGUCUGCAGGAGAGCUGCCUCCAUCAUAAAGGACCCCACCCACCCGCAACGAGGACUGUUCACUCUCCUCCCCUCGGGACGGAGGUACAGGAGUGUGAAGUGCAGGACCACCAGAUUUAGGAACUCUUUCUUUCGUCUGCCAUCAGACACCUUAACAGCUGACAGGAGUCUGGAACAACAAACUGCAUCCUUAUUGUUAAUAAUCGUUUAUUAUUACUGUUCUUGCACAUUUAGAAUUUGCACAACGUCUUUAUUUUGCAUAGUUAUAUGUAAAUUUAUGUUAUGUGUGAAAUUUCAGUAUCCUGUACACGUCCUAACUUCUAUUUUCAGGUGUGGUGCAUGUAGGUGUGGCCCCCAUUGGACCCACGCUGAUGGAGACGACCUUCAAAAGCACCAUGUGGACCUGCAGACCAUGAGAAGGGGGCGGGGCUACAAUCAGUUUCACUUUAUUAGUUAAGGUGUGGUGCAUGAAGGCGUGGCUGCCGUUGGACCCACACUGAUGGAGACGACCUUCAAAAUGCACAAAAGCAGACCAUGAGAAGGGGGCGGGGCUACAACCAGUCUCCACUGCAGCUUGGCGCUCUCCUCCACCUGUUUUGCUGUAGUUUCUGUGGAUGUGCAGGAGAACGGCCUGGAGGAACACCAUCCCCGAUCCAGUGAGUUCCUGCUUCUGUCUCUGUCUCUACGGGUUUGCCUGGGGCAUCCGCAUCAUCGAAGGGGCGGAGCUUUGCCAAUACAUCUGGCUCCUGGUUAAAGGAAUAGUUAAGGUAAAAAAAAAAGGGUAAGAACAUUUUAUAAGUAAAGCGAAAAAAAGGUUAAGAUAAAGUUAAGGUUAAAAACAAAAUAUAAACAGUUUAGAUAAAGUUAGGAUAAAAAAGGUAAAAAACAA
This is a non-coding RNA of Oryzias latipes (Japanese medaka), 1321 nucleotides long. The record is from RefSeq and is a predicted model, not a curated record. Lineage: Eukaryota; Metazoa; Chordata; Actinopteri; Beloniformes; Adrianichthyidae.